UCCUUCAGUGUUGAAACAAUCUCUGCUGAACCAGGCUCCAAACUACGUUCACUGGAGUUUGUUUCAAUAUUGCAAGAA
Molecule: non-coding RNA, 78 nt
Organism: Equus caballus (horse)
Lineage: Eukaryota; Metazoa; Chordata; Mammalia; Perissodactyla; Equidae
Source: Rfam